UGGGGAAUCUUCCGCAAUGGACGAAAGUCUGACGGAGCAACGCCGCGUGAGUGAAGAAGGCUUUCGGUUCGUAAAACUCUGUUGUUAGGGAAGAAAAAAUGUAUAGUAACUAUAUACAAAAGAGACGGUACCUAACCAGAAAGCCACGGCUAACUACGUGCCAGCAGCCGCGGUAAUACGUAGGUGGCAAGCGUUGUCCGGAAUUAUUGGGCGUAAAGCGCGCGCAGGUGGUUUAGAAAGUCUGAUGUGAAAGCCCACGGCUCAACCGUGGAGGGUCAUUGGAAACUAAUAAACUUGAGUGCAGGAGAGAAAAGUGGAAUUCCUAGUGUAGCGGUGAAAUGCGUAGAGAUUAGGAGGAACACCGGUGGCGAAAGCGGCUUUUUGGCCUGCAACUGACACUGAGGCGCGAAAGCGUGGGGAGCAAACAGG
RNAcentral lists this ribosomal RNA (429 nucleotides) under Verrucomicrobiota bacterium. Its description in RNAcentral is "Verrucomicrobia bacterium partial 16S ribosomal RNA". It matches the Rfam family "Bacterial small subunit ribosomal RNA", at positions 355 to 776 of the family's 1533-position model. The record is from RNAcentral. Lineage: Bacteria; Pseudomonadati; Verrucomicrobiota.